Molecule: ribosomal RNA, 253 nt
Filed under: uncultured bacterium
Lineage: Bacteria
Description: partial 16S ribosomal RNA
Rfam family: Bacterial small subunit ribosomal RNA
Source: RNAcentral
UACGUAGGGUGCAGGCGUUAAUCGGAAUUACUGGGCGUAAAGCGUGCGCAGGCGGUUUCUUAAGUCAGAUGUGAAAGCCCCGGGCUUAACCUGGGAACUGCGUCUGAAACUACUCGGCUAGAGUAUUGGAGAGGGUAACGGAAUUCACGGUGUAGCAGUGAAAUGCGUAGAUAUCGUGAGGAACACCAGAGGCGAAGGCGGUUACCUGGACAAUUACUGACGCUCAGGCACGAAAGCAUGGGGAGCAAAAGGG